Molecule: long non-coding RNA, 532 nt
Organism: Dama dama (fallow deer)
Lineage: Eukaryota; Metazoa; Chordata; Mammalia; Artiodactyla; Cervidae
Exons: 3
Source: RefSeq, a predicted model, not a curated record
UCAUAAUAAGAUAACCUGGAGUCAUGGAGCAGAGAUCUAAAGCAACCUUAUUUUUCCAGGAAGCAGCGUGUUGACCUUUCAGGAUUUCGUCUAUUUUAUUGAAUGCAAAUCUACAGAGACUGAGGACAGACAACUGCCUUGAGCUUGGAGAAGAAGUGGAGCCUAACGAUAAUAUGUACAUCAUGAGAAACGCUGGGCUGGAAGAAACACAAGCUGGAAUCAAGAUUGCUGGGAGAAAUAUCAGUAACCUCAGAUAUGCAGAUGACACCACCCUUAUGGCAGAAAGUGAAGAGGAACUAAACAGCCUCUUCAUGAACGUAAAAGAGGAGAGUGAAAAAGUUGGCUUAAAGCUCAACAUUCAGAAAACGAAGAUCAUGGCAUCUGGUCCCAUCACAUCAUAGGAAAUAGAUGGGGAGACAGUGGAAACAGUGUCAGACUUUAUUUUUCUGGGCUCCAAAAUCACUGCAGAUGGUGAUUGCAGCCAUGAAAUUAAAAGACGCUUACUCCUUGGAAGGAAAGUUAUGACCAACCU